Molecule: long non-coding RNA, 479 nt
Filed under: Oryza brachyantha (malo sina)
Lineage: Eukaryota; Viridiplantae; Streptophyta; Magnoliopsida; Poales; Poaceae
Description: long non-coding RNA (OBRA_LNC002764)
Source: RNAcentral
CGGAAGGCCACUGCCAAGAACAGAUUGAACAGUUCCAUCACUUCCACCGCUGCCCUGCAAUGGCUCGAGAGUCUCAACAACGUCGCUCAUCAGAGGUCUUGCCUUUGGGUUUUGGCUCAAGCAGUAGUACGCUAGGCUGCAAGCUUUGUGGGCAGCUCUAACUGAAUACUGUCCCUCCAGCUUUGGGUCAAUGAUUUGGAGAAGCCUCCUCUUGUCAUUGAGCUUGGGAAGGGCCCAGUCAACCAAGCUGUGCUCCCUGCUGGGCCGUGACUUGUCAAUGGACUUGCGCCCAGUCAAGAGUUCAAGGAACAACGUCGCUCAUCAGAGGUCUUGCCUUUGGGUUUUGGCUCAAGCAGUAGUACGCUAGGCUGCAAGCUUUGUGGGCAGCUCUAACUGAAUACUGUCCCUCCAGCUUUGGGUCAAUGAUUUGGAGAAGCCUCCUCUUGUCAUUGAGCUUGGGAAGGGCCCAGUCAACCAAG